CUCAUAUAAAUAUGUGGUCUAGGAGUCUCUAAAAAAUUGUGUGGACUAAAAGUUUCAUGUAAACACUAUAUAAAGGGGUAGGAUCCUCCAUUUUGUAAAACAAGCCAAAGUAUGUAAGUUUUGGAGUUGAGAAAUACAAGUUUUCUUUUGUUCAAUUCCUUCUUCCUCUUAAUAUUAUCCUCCUUAAAAGCCUUAACUAAUCUAAGUUAGUAAACUCCUUUUUCCUCCAACAUAGAAAAAUAUUGUAUAAAAUUGUCCAUCUAAGGAUGUUGAUAGACAUUUACUUUGUUAUUGUUAUUUUGACAGGUAGCAUGCAAGAAGUUUAUCAAAACAUGAAGCAAUGUCCAAGUGGUAUUGAAAUAGUUUAUUUUGCACCAGAUCAAUGUGUUUCUCUAUGUGAUAGCUAUUGCAAACAAGGUGGAUGGUGUGGGGGAAGCUGUGAUUUGCCAAUGACUACUGAUUGUUGUUGUACUGGUUGCCAUCAAAGUGAUUCUGUUCCUGGAUAGAUAAGCAUUGUUUGAACAAUAAAUAAAUAUAUGGUUUUCUGAAAUUUGUUUCUUAUGCUUCCCUCUUUUUUUAUUUUUUUCUUUUUCGGAGAAUUAGGGAUUGUUAAAGUAAUAAGUUAAUUAGGUUAAGGGUAGUUUAGUCUUAUUAUGUUUCCUUAGUUUUACACAUAUAAACUAUUGUAAUCUCACAUAUUUUGAAACCAAGUUUGGAGGCUGCUAUCAAUCGGUUUUCUCUCUUUCUCCUCCAUUCUUCAUCUUUGAUUUGUUGUUUUCUACAUGGUAUCAGAGCUGGUUUGAUUUUGGGUUAAACUUGCAAGGUGUCGUUUUCCGGCGAGUGGCCUUGUGCUGCUCGCCCGGCCAAUUUUUUUUGUUUUACUUUGUUUCUUUGUCUACGCGUUGUCCUGUUCAUUGCGGCCGGCUAGGGUUUCACCAAACUGCUACUCCUUUAUCCCUUUAACAUAGAUCAGUUCAUAUAACCAUGAAUGAAGAGUUCAAUUAAGGAUUUCUGUUUCUGAUAUAUCUGCAAAGGCUUGGGUUUUUCUUCUAGUGGCUGAAAAAUGGCGACAGCGAACCCAUUUGAUUUGUUGGGAGACGAAGAUACGGAGGACAUGUCGCAGCUUAUGCAAAAAAAAAAAAAAAUCGAGCCGAAGAAAGCCCUAGCUCCCUC
Molecule: long non-coding RNA, 1173 nt
Filed under: Olea europaea subsp. europaea
Lineage: Eukaryota; Viridiplantae; Streptophyta; Magnoliopsida; Lamiales; Oleaceae
Source: RNAcentral